RNAcentral lists this ribosomal RNA (301 nucleotides) under uncultured bacterium. RNAcentral describes it as "partial 16S ribosomal RNA". It matches the Rfam family "Bacterial small subunit ribosomal RNA", at positions 509 to 809 of the family's 1533-position model. The record is from RNAcentral.
CAGCCGCCACGGUAAUACAGAGGGUGCGAGCGUUAAUCGGAUUUACUGGGCGUAAAGCGUGCGUAGGCGGCUUCUUAAGUCGGAUGUGAAAUCCCUGAGCUUAACUUAGGAAUUGCAUUCGAUACUGGGAAGCUAGAGUAUGGGAGAGGAUGGUAGAAUUCCAGGUGUAGCGGUGAAAUGCGUAGAGAUCUGGAGGAAUACCGAUGGCGAAGGCAGCCAUCUGGCCUAAUACUGACGCUGAGGUACGAAAGCAUGGGGAGCAAACAGGAUUAGAUACCCCGGUAGUCCCUGUCUCUUAUAA